UACGUAGGGACCAAGCGUUGUUCGGAUUUACUGGGCGUAAAGCGCGUGUAGGCGGUCAGGCAAGUCGGAUGUGAAAUCCCGUGGCUCAACUACGGAAGUGCACCCGAAACUGCUUGACUUGAGUCUCGGAGAGGAAGGCGGAAUGCUUGGUGUAGAGGUGAAAUUCGUAGAUAUCAAGCGGAACACCGGUGGCGAAGGCGGCCUUCUGGACGAGGACUGACGCUGAGACGCGAAAGCGUGGGGAGCAAACAGG
RNAcentral lists this ribosomal RNA (253 nucleotides) under uncultured bacterium. RNAcentral's name for it is "partial 16S ribosomal RNA". It matches the Rfam family "Bacterial small subunit ribosomal RNA", at positions 524 to 776 of the family's 1533-position model. The record is from RNAcentral.